This 253-nucleotide ribosomal RNA is filed under the name uncultured bacterium. RNAcentral's name for it is "partial 16S ribosomal RNA". It matches the Rfam family "Bacterial small subunit ribosomal RNA", at positions 524 to 776 of the family's 1533-position model. The record is from RNAcentral.
UACGUAGGGUGCAAGCGUUGUUCGGAAUUACUGGGCGUAAAGGGUUCGUAGGUGGCCAACUUAGUCAGACGUGAAAUCCCUCAGCUUAACUGGGGAACUGCGUCUGAUACUGGAUGGCUUGAGUGCAGGAGAGGAACGCGGAAUUCCAGGUGUAGCGGUGAAAUGCGUAGAUAUCUGGAGGAACACCGGUGGCGAAGGCGGCGUUCUGGACUGCAACUGACACUGAGGAACGAAAGCGUGGGGAGCGAACAGG